RNAcentral lists this transfer RNA (74 nucleotides) under Podarcis lilfordi (Lilford's wall lizard). RNAcentral describes it as "tRNA.Lys". The stretch from base 8 to 65 matches the Rfam family "tRNA", at positions 8 to 63 of the family's 71-position model. From Rfam's summary of the family: Transfer RNA (tRNA) molecules are approximately 80 nucleotides in length. Their secondary structure includes four short double-helical elements and three loops (D, anti-codon, and T loops). The record is from RNAcentral. Lineage: Eukaryota; Metazoa; Chordata; Lepidosauria; Squamata; Lacertidae.
UGCAGGAUAGCUCAGUUGUUAGAGCAUGAGACUCUUAAUCUCAGGGUUGUGAGUUCAAGCCCCAUGCUGGGCAA